UGUGGCCAUGUAGUGUGGAAACACUCGUUCCCAUACAAUCACUGAAGUUAAGCAAUGUUGUGCCUGGUCAUUAUCUAAAAGGGUGACCCCUCAAGAAUACCAGGUUCUGUAAG
Acanthosepion pharaonis is the source of this 113-nucleotide non-coding RNA. NCBI's taxonomy places the organism in Eukaryota, Metazoa, Mollusca, Cephalopoda, Sepiida, Sepiidae. The record is from the annotation of a GenBank genome assembly.